Sardina pilchardus (European sardine) is the source of this 305-nucleotide long non-coding RNA. RefSeq lists it as uncharacterized. The transcript has 2 exons. The record is from RefSeq and is a predicted model, not a curated record. NCBI's taxonomy places the organism in Eukaryota, Metazoa, Chordata, Actinopteri, Clupeiformes, Clupeidae.
GAAGUGAAGGUAAAUGUCAACAUGCUUAAAUGCCUUUGUCUGCUGUAAUAAAACCUACCCUCUACCUCAGAAGCUCUCUAAUGAAAUGUACAUUUAUGUAUCUGCGUUACAGGUUAUUCACAAGUGUCUCCAGUUUGGUUUGGGGGUCUACGCUUUCUCAUCCUGUCCUGCCACCCAAGUGAAGUUAUUCACAAGUGGCUCCAGUCUGGUUUGGGGGUCUACGCUUUCUCAUCCUGUCCUGAGUGAUUCUUGACAUUGAAAUUAUAUCAAAAUUUGUCAAUAAAUGUUCAUACUUUUGUCAUUAA